This 75-nucleotide transfer RNA is filed under the name Marmota monax (woodchuck). RNAcentral's name for it is "tRNA.Ala". The record is from RNAcentral. Lineage: Eukaryota; Metazoa; Chordata; Mammalia; Rodentia; Sciuridae.
GUGGGCAUAUAGCUCAGUGGUAGAGCCAUUGCCUAGCCUGCAUGAGGCCCUGAGUUCAAUCCCCAGUAACACACA